AGAAAAGUAAGCUAAAAAUAAGCUAAUGGGUUCAUACCCCAUUUAUAGAGUUAUACUCUCUUCUCUA
This 67-nucleotide transfer RNA is filed under the name Anaplectoidea varia. RNAcentral's name for it is "tRNA-Met". Lineage: Eukaryota; Metazoa; Arthropoda; Insecta; Blattodea; Blattellidae. The record is from RNAcentral.